GACGAACGCUGGCGGCGUGCUUAACACAUGCAAGUCGAACGGACAGGCCCUGCUUUUGUGGGUUUCUCGAUAGCGGAACGGGUGAGUAACACGUGUGUAACCUGCCCUUAUCUUUGGGAUAAAUUCUCGAAACUGGGGCUAUUAUCGGGUAUAAGCUCCUGCUGCGUGUGGUGGGUUGGAGAGUGUCGGCGGUUGGGGAUGGACUGGCGGGUUAUCCGCUGGUUGGUGAGGUAGUGGCUUACCAAGGCUUUGACGGGUAGCCGGCAUUGGAGGGUGACCGGCGACCAUGGGACUGCGAUACGGAGCAGACGGCUACCGGAGGCAGCAGGCGAGAGUCUUGCGGAGCAGGCGGAAGCCUGAUGCAGAAAUGCCGCGUGCGUGAUGACGGGUUACGAGGUAUAAACCGAUGUCGCCGUUGAUGUACACUGCUUGACGGUAAUGGGUCAGGAAGCCACGGCUAACUACGUG
RNAcentral lists this ribosomal RNA (468 nucleotides) under uncultured bacterium. RNAcentral describes it as "partial 16S ribosomal RNA". It matches the Rfam family "Bacterial small subunit ribosomal RNA", at positions 28 to 507 of the family's 1533-position model. The record is from RNAcentral.